RNAcentral lists this ribosomal RNA (386 nucleotides) under uncultured bacterium. Its description in RNAcentral is "bacterial SSU rRNA". It matches the Rfam family "Bacterial small subunit ribosomal RNA", at positions 27 to 414 of the family's 1533-position model. The record is from RNAcentral.
GAUUGAACGCUGGCGGAAUGCUUUACACAUGCAAGUCGAACGGCAGCACGGGGGCAACCCUGGUGGCGAGUGGCGAACGGGUGAGUAACACAUCGGAACGUGCCCAGUCGUGGGGGAUAACGUAGCGAAAGCUACGCUAAUACCGCAUACGAACUCUGGUUGAAAGCGGGGGACUCGCAAGGGCCUCGCGCGAUUGGAGCGGCCGAUGGCAGAUUAGGUAGUUGGUGGGGAAAGGCCUACCAAGCCGACGAUCUGUAGCUGGUCUGAGAGGACGACCAGCCACACUGGGACUGAGACACGGCCCAGACUCCUACGGGAGGCAGCAGUGGGGAAUAUUGGACAAUGGGCGCAAGCCUGAUCCAGCAAUGCCGCGUGUGUGAAGAAGG